Molecule: long non-coding RNA, 2953 nt
Organism: Onychostoma macrolepis
Lineage: Eukaryota; Metazoa; Chordata; Actinopteri; Cypriniformes; Cyprinidae
Exons: 3
Source: RefSeq, a predicted model, not a curated record
CACCGAACACAUUUCCUCUACUGUUACAUUUUUACUAGUUCUGUUAUUUACAUAGUUAACAUGAAAUGGCAGCCCAUCUUACUUCAUAAUGUGUUAUGAAACGGGAAAAAGUGUAGGGCAAAACUUUUAUCCAUUGGACAAUUGAUUGUUUUUUGGAAGAUCUCUGUGGCUGUGUUCAGAAUCAAAUGCUAGCAUACUGAAUACAACACGGUAUAUACUACAUACAGCUUACAUUUUAAAAAAAAAAAAUAGUUCAUGAAACAGUAAGCAUAAUUCCUCUAUAAACUUUUUAAACAGUGGUAUGGUACAAUGUAAUAAUAUGACCUCAUCAAAAUACAAUAGAGCAGAGGUCUUCAACCCUGCUCCUGGGGACCCACUGUCCUGCAAAGUUUAUUUCCAACCUGUUUCAGCACACCUGCCUGUGUAUUUUCAAGCAGUCUUGAGGACUUUGAUUAGCUGCUUCAGGUGUGUUUGAUUAGGGUUGUAGCUAAACUCUUCAGGACAGUGGGUCCCCAGGAACAGGGUUGAAGACCUAUGCAAUAGAGUGUUCCAGAAGCUCAAACAGUAAAGGCUGUAUGUAUAUAUAUAUUUUUGCAUUUCUAAUCCAAUUUGGUGUUAAAAAUGCUCUACCUUUUUGACAGUCUAUUAAUAAAAUAAUAUCAAGAAAGAGCUUAAAAUCACAACUGAUAUUACUUGCAGUUGGCAUCCGUUACUUUGAGAUACAGUAUUGUGGGAUACAAUAUUCUGUGUUGUAUAAAGAACAUUUAAACACUUUGUAAGAGUAAGCAAUAGUAGGAGUAGUAUGGUAGUGUGCUGUUCUAACGGAUGGUUAAAGAGGCAGAGUUAAAAAAAAAUAAGAGUGUUUGAUGAUGUCAGCUGAAAAGGAAAGUCGUUUCAGAGACGGAGCAAGUUGAUUUGCCAAUUGAUUAGGAUGACAAACUUUCACAAAAAGAAUGUAUUAAGAAAGUAAAUAAGACCAAUUUUUUGUUUUUCAUUUUUUUAAACCUAAUCAAAUCAAUUUUUAUAAUACAGAACUCUCUUGAAGGUUGAUAUUAAUAUACUAAUGAAAAGUUAAAAAUCUCAAAUGAUUGUCUCUCUCUUCUCUUGUUUCAGCAGUGCUGUACUUUCUCUAGACACGUCUGUUUAGCGGUUACGCCUGGUUAAGCACACACACGCACACACACACACACACAGGCUGUCUUACACGCACUUGCCAUGUCUGACCCGCAGGUCAUGCUGAAGUGACUUUGUGCCCCGUUUGUAACUGGGCCUCUUUGAAAGUGGGCCUCGCAUUCCUGCUCCGUCAGACGGGGGAUGUCCUGCUUAUUGCCAGCGAGUAGGAAGUUUCUGCUGUUAGGGAUUAUGUGCCGUUUCCUCGCCCAGAAGCUUUCGGCUUGUCCCCUCCCACUCUUGAAAAAGCAGCGACUCCACAAACUAGAAAACGGUGCGAACUAAAUACCUGCCUCUCUGACCACCAGCCUCAGCCUUUCAGCCCCGCUCGUCUGCGCUUGUGCGAUUGCUGGGAGGAGGCAGCCGCGUUCCGUCUGCUUUUGUGUGGUUGUACAGAAGUGCUGCGGUUGGGAGGAGGAGGAGGAGGAGGUGGUGGAGGGGAACAGCUGCUCCCCACACAGAAGCCGGUUUCCCAGCCUGACAGGCAGCGAGAGGCAGCCAGUGCCGGGGCUGUUUUCCCGGGGGCCCUCGGGUUGGUUCACCAGCCUCCGCAGCUCCAGCUAGGAGGAAAAUUUUUAUGGCGGCGGAGAAACACGAAAUGGACCAGAGCAAGUAGGAUUCUUUCCUUCACAAGGCCAGGCGCUCGUGUUCUCCCACAGUAAUCAGGAGCAGAUAUGGAUACAUCUCCACUGAAACUCGACCAGGUUUCUCUCAGCCGAUGGGACUCCAGUGGACCCCGCGGCUGCUCUGAGCGUCUUCCUCCAGUCAGAGCUUUUAACCCGUCGGAUGGCAGUUAGCGGUGGCCGCAGGUGCUCCCGUUACCUGCACGAAAAGCUGCGUGAGCACCCCAGCAUUCCUCAAACACUCACACACACACACACAAUCCAGACAUCUUUUUGUUCUUCAACAUACAGCGAGCUCUGGCAGAGAUAUAAACUUGUCUGUAUCCUAAAAUAUACCGUCUCUCUCUCACUAAAAAAAACAAAACAAUCCCUGUUGUGAAUGAGUGUCCAAAAUAAUACAGAUUUAAUUAAUAUCAUUUCAUAUAAUACUAUAAUAUAAUUUACGGAUAUAAUUAAUGGUUUUAAUUGCAUGAAUUUUCUUCUUUUUAGGUGCAGAUGUUAUUUUCAGCGUGCAGGUAACUUGCAGAUUAACUUGAUAUUGUUAUACUCAUUCUUACUAUUUAUUAGGAUAUGCCAUAAAAUAAUACCAUUAUUCAAAACAUGCUCAUUUUCAUUAUAUUUGCCUUAUUUUACCUUUAUAAAAACAAGAUAAAUGUACUUAUAAGCAGACAUUUCACCAAAGUUAUCUUUGAGUUGUUGGCAAUUUUCAAUAUAAUUAAAUGUUUUAUCUUAUAUGUAUGUGUGUGUGUGUGUGUAUUUGUUUCUUCAGUUUUUUGCAGUAAGUUUAUAUUUUUACUGGAAAACAAGAUGAAUGUACUGAUUAAAAAUAAAUAUUUUUCUGUUCUUUUUUCCUCAAUCUCAAACCCUUAAUAUUUUCCCACAGUGUGUACUGCAGGAAUGAAGCAGUAUGUGUGUAUAAGUUUGCAGUAGAAGUUUCAGCAGGUGAGUCUGACACACAAAUACACUCCCGCAUUAAAGGAAGUGGAGAAGAGACAGAUCCUUUGACUUUCUGGUUUCACACACUGUCCAGUGACACACACACACACACACUCACACGCUCAGACCACAGCUGCCCAUUAGUCUGUUAAUCUCUUGUAUAUUUGUAUUUUAAAAUGCUGUAAAUGUUUAAGACUGUCUAAUAAAUUGUUUAUAUUACUGUA